UGGGGAAUUUUGGACAAUGGGCGCAAGCCUGAUCCAGCCAUGCCGCGUGCAGGAUGAAGGCCUUCGGGUUGUAAACUGCUUUUGUACGGAACGAAAAGACUCCUUCUAAUAAAGGGGGUCCAUGACGGUACCGUAAGAAUAAGCACCGGCUAACUACGUGCC
RNAcentral lists this ribosomal RNA (162 nucleotides) under uncultured bacterium. RNAcentral's name for it is "partial 16S ribosomal RNA". It matches the Rfam family "Bacterial small subunit ribosomal RNA", at positions 355 to 509 of the family's 1533-position model. The record is from RNAcentral.